AGGAAGGGUAGUGUAGUUAACACCUGCAUAUUUGAGUUACCUACAGAAGAAGCACCGGCUAACUCCGUGCCAGCAGCCGCGGUAAUACGGAGGGUGCGAGCGUUAAUCGGAAUUACUGGGCGUAAAGCGCAUGCAGGCGGCCUGUUAAGUCAGAUGUGAAAGCCCGGGGCGUUAACCUCGGAAUUGCAUUUGAAACUGGCAGGCUAGAGUCUUGUAGAGGGGGGUAGGAAUUUCAGGUGUAGCGGUGAAAUGCGUAGAGAUCUGAAGGAAUACCAGUGGCGAAGGCGGCCCCCUGGACAAAGACUGACGCUCAGAUGCGAAAAGCGUGGGGAGCAAACAGGAUUAGAUACCCCUGGUAG
This 359-nucleotide ribosomal RNA is filed under the name uncultured bacterium. Its description in RNAcentral is "bacterial SSU rRNA". It matches the Rfam family "Bacterial small subunit ribosomal RNA", at positions 441 to 793 of the family's 1533-position model. The record is from RNAcentral.